Molecule: ribosomal RNA, 484 nt
Filed under: uncultured bacterium
Lineage: Bacteria
Description: partial 16S ribosomal RNA
Rfam family: Bacterial small subunit ribosomal RNA
Source: RNAcentral
AUUGAACGCUGGCGGCAGGCCUAACACAUGCAAGUCGAGCGGAUGAAGGGAGCUUGCUCCUGGAUUCAGCGGCGGACGGGUGAGUAAUGCCUAGGAAUCUGCCUGGUAGUGGGGGGUAACGUCCGGAAACGGGCGCUAAUACCGCAUACGUCCUGAGGGAGAAAGUGGGGGAUCUUCGGACCUCACGCUAUCAGAUGAGCCUAGGUCGGAUUAGCUAGUUGGUGGGGUAAAGGCCUACCAAGGCGACGAUCCGUAACUGGUCUGAGAGGAUGAUCAGUCACACUGGAACUGAGACACGGUCCAGACUCCUACGGGAGGCAGCAGUGGGGAAUAUUGGACAAUGGGCGAAUGCCUGAUCCAGCCAUGCCGCGUGUGUGAAGAAGGUCUUCGGAUUGUAAAGCACUUUAAGUUGGGAGGAAGGGCAGUAAGUUAAUACCUUGCUGUUUUGACGUUACCAACAGAAUAAGCACCGGCUAACUUCGUG